GAUUGGCUCAGUUGGUUAGAGCAUGGUGCUGAUAACACCAAUGUCACUGGUUCAAUCCCUGAAUUGGACA
Molecule: non-coding RNA, 70 nt
Organism: Podarcis lilfordi (Lilford's wall lizard)
Lineage: Eukaryota; Metazoa; Chordata; Lepidosauria; Squamata; Lacertidae
Source: the annotation of a GenBank genome assembly